CCACCUCAACCUCCCAAAGUACUGGGAUUACAAGCAUGAGUAACCGUGCCCAGACCGGUUUUGUUUAUAAACCACCCCUUGCCCUACCUCUCCCAGGGGUCUAUGAGGAGCCCUCUAAUCUUUAAUCCAUGGCCCUAGGUUCAGGGGAGGGGGUCGGGCCAGGGCAGGCCAUGGAAAGUGAAGUGGACUUGGGGGGAGUCAGAAAGCUUUGGUGUGGCCUCUUGUGCCCAAGACAACCCAGGAGGUUCAGGGUCCUGAAGCCAAUGUAAUCUAGGGCCUAAACCUUCUAAUCUCAGGGUGGGCAGAAGCUGGGUGUAGAAUGGGGUGCUCAGAGGGGCUCAGGGGUGUUCAGGGUGCCAGUGUGGGACCCUCACCUUGGCACUGGAAGAUUUCAGGCCUCCUCAAACAGAUGGGGCCCAGGACAGCAGAGGGGACAGAGAGGGCUGCUCUGCUGUGGCCAGCAUGUCCCAGAGGUGCAUGUGGAUACAGAGGGCAGCAGCUGCUGAAAUGGUCAUGGGCAUUGGACUAUGCUGGAGUGGGGACACCUCACCCCGACUCUGCCAGCUCACACCGGGCACUUUCACUUCCCUUAGAAUAGGCCCCUUGCACACUGCUACCCACAGUUUGCAUCAGAAGAAAUGGAAGAGACCUGCUUAAGGUCGCACACCCAGUGGCAGAGCAGGGACUCUGCGCAGGGUGGUCUAACUGGGGAGCUGGGGCCAAGCCCGGCCUCUCCAGUCAGCUGCGGGGGCGCACCCCGGGGCACUGGGAGUCCAGGCCCGGUUUUGCAUCAGGCCCUGCCGAGGUGUUUCCUCCUCCUCAGUGUGGGGCAGCUGCUGGCCGGGCUGCCUGUUGAGUCAGCCUUCUUCCCUCACGGCUCUUCUCCCAGUCCCUGAAACUCGGCUGCCAGGGGAGCUGGAGUCACCUGCGAAGGUGUCCUCCCAUACUGGACCCCUACAGGAAGCUACGUGUGCCCAGCUGGGGCACAGCCCCAGCUGAUGCCCCAGAGGGGCCACCCAUCUCAAGAGGGGCUUUGGGGUCUGCCCUCCCUCCCCAUGGCGCAUGGGCCAAAGCCUGAGACUGAAGGACUACUGGACCUCAGCUUCCUGACAGAGGAGGAGCAGGAGGCCAUUGCUGGUGUCCUCCAACGAGAUGCCCGCCUGCGCCAGCUGGAGGAAGGGCGGGUCAGCAAGCUCCGGGCCUCACUGGCAGACCCUGGGCAGCUGAAGAUCCUGACAGGGGACUGGUUCCAGGAAGCACGCUCCCAGCGGCACCACAAUGCCCACUUCGGCUCUGACCUUGUCCGAGCCUCUAUGCGCAGGAAGAAGAGCGCCAGGGGAGACCAGGCUCCAGGCAGCGACGGGGAGGCUGAGGCUGCUGUGAAAGAGAAGGAAGAGGGGCCAGAACCCAGGCUCACCAUUGAUGAGGCCCCUCAGGAGAGGCUCAGGGAGACUGAGGAACCUGAUUUCCCAUCGCCUUCUGUCCCGCUAAAGGGUUCAGAUCCUGAUGAGGCGUCCCAGGCCCAGGAAGACCCUGGCCAAGGAGACCUGCUGGUCUGUGCCGAGAAGGCGGACCCGGAGCUGGAGUCCGCGUCGAGGGGAGGGCAGGAGCCGCGGCCCCCGCAAGCCCAGGUAGGCGGGAGUGGCCCGCGGCUGUUCUCAAGAUCCGGAGCGGAUUCCGGGCGGGGAGCGCUCCUGCCCAGGGCUGCGAGCCGCCCGCGACCCAGGGCGCUCGGGGCAGGGGCGGGGAAAGAAGGGGCGCCCCGUCACUUGCCCCCUCUGCAGACCAAGGCCGAGUCCCAGAUACUGGAGAACGGGGAGGAGGCCCCGGGGCCGGACCCCUCACUCGACCGCAUGCUCAGUAGCAGCUCCUCCGUGUCCAGCCUUAACUCCUCCACGCUGAGCGGCAGCCAGAUGAGCCUGUCCGGCGAGGCGGAGGCGGUGCAGGUCCGCGGCUCCGUGCACUUCGCGCUGCACUACGAGCCGGGUGCCUCUGAGCUGCGCGUGCACGUGAUCCAGUGCCAGGGCCUGGCCGCCGCCCGACGCCGCCGCUCAGACCCCUACGUCAAAAGCUACCUCCUCCCGGAUAAGCAGAGCAAGCGCAAGACGGCAGUGAAGAAACGGAAUCUGAAUCCGGUUUUCAACGAGACUCUCCGGUACUCCGUCCCGCAGGCCGAGCUGCAGGGCCGCGUGCUGAGCCUGUCCGUGUGGCACCGCGAAAGCCUGGGUCGCAACAUCUUUCUGGGUGAAGCUGAAGUGCCCUUGGACACGUGGGACUGGGGCUCUGAGCCCACCUGGCUCCCCCUGCAGCCCCGGCCCCUGCUCCACGACAAGCCCGCCUCUCGCAGGUCCCACUCUCUCCCGACGACCUUCCGAGCCGCGGGCUACUCGCCCUGUCCCUCAAGUACGUCCCCGCCGGCUCCGAGGGCGCUGGACUGCCCCCGAGCGGGGAGCUGCACUUCUGGGUGAAGGAGGCCCGGGACCUCCUGCCACUGCGGGCAGGAUCCCUGGACACUUACGUACAAUGCUUCGUACUGCCUGAUGACAGCCGGGCCAGCCGCCAGCGUACAAGGGUUGUGCGACGCAGCCUCAGACCUGUGUUCAACCACACCAUGGUGUACGAUGGCUUUGGGCCUGCCGACCUGCGCCAGGCUUGUGCCGAGCUCUCCCUCUGGGACCAUGGGGCCCUGGCCAGCCGCCAGCUGGGGGGCACACGCCUCAGCCUGGGCACUGGCAGCAGCUAUGGGCUGCAGGUGCCCUGGAUGGAUUCCACACCAGAGGAGAAGCGGCUGUGGCAGGCCCUCCUGGAGCAGCCGUGCGAGUGGGUGGAUGGCCUUCUACCCCUCAGAACCAACCUGGCCCCCAGGACGUAGCCCGACCAAGCCUCUCUCUCUGGACCCCCAUCUCAGGGCCUGCCCUUGGCUAAAGUCAAUAAAGUCUGCUCUAAGGGCAA
Molecule: RNA transcript, 2952 nt
Organism: Cercocebus atys (sooty mangabey)
Lineage: Eukaryota; Metazoa; Chordata; Mammalia; Primates; Cercopithecidae
Gene: SYTL1
Gene name: synaptotagmin-like 1
Exons: 14
Source: RefSeq, a predicted model, not a curated record